RNAcentral lists this ribosomal RNA (253 nucleotides) under uncultured bacterium. RNAcentral describes it as "partial 16S ribosomal RNA". It matches the Rfam family "Bacterial small subunit ribosomal RNA", at positions 524 to 776 of the family's 1533-position model. The record is from RNAcentral.
UACAGAGGGGGCAAGCGUUGUCCGGAUUUAUUGGGCGUAAAGAGCGUGUAGGCGGUUCGGUAGGUCCGUUGUGAAAACUCGAGGCUCAACCUCGAGACGCCGAUGGAAACCAUCGAACUAGAGUCCGGAAGAGGAGAGUGGAAUUCCUGGUGUAGCGGUGAAAUGCGCAGAUAUCAGGAAGAACACCCGUGGCUAAGGCGGCUCUCUAGUACGGUACUGACGCUGAGACGCGAAAGCGUGGGGAGCGAACAGG